RNAcentral lists this ribosomal RNA (569 nucleotides) under uncultured bacterium. RNAcentral's name for it is "partial 16S ribosomal RNA". It matches the Rfam family "Bacterial small subunit ribosomal RNA", at positions 338 to 864 of the family's 1533-position model. The record is from RNAcentral.
CCUACGGGAGGCAGCAGUGGGGAAUCUUGCACAAUGGAGGAAACUCUGAUGCAGCGAUGCCGCGUGAGUGAAGAAGGCCUUUGGGUUGUAAAGCUCUUUUGUAGGGGAAGAUAAUGACUGUACCCUAAGAAUAAGGUCCGGCUAACUUCGUGCCAGCAGCCGCGGUAAUACGAAGGGACCUAGCGUAGUUCGGAAUUACUGGGCGUAAAGCGCGCGUAGGCCGUUGAGUUAGUUAAUUGUGAAAUCCCAAAGCUUAACUUUGGAACUGCAAUUAAAACUGCUCGACUAGAGUUUGAUAGAGGAAAGCGGAAUACAUAGUGUAGAGGUGAAAUUCGUAGAUAUUAUGUAGAACACCAGUUGCGAAGGCGGCUUUCUGGAUCAACACUGACGCUGAGGCGCGAAAGUAUGGGUAGCAAAGAGGAUUAGAUACCCUCGUAGUCCAUACCAUAAACGAUGAUUGCUAGAUGUUGGAAAUUUAUUUUCAGUAUCGNANCACNCAUANANANCNCNGGNGACGACGCAGUAACUACAAGAAUAGAGNGNGAGAGNGCGAGACGACACGAGGAGAG